Molecule: non-coding RNA, 148 nt
Organism: Gorilla gorilla gorilla (western lowland gorilla)
Lineage: Eukaryota; Metazoa; Chordata; Mammalia; Primates; Hominidae
Rfam family: Metazoan signal recognition particle RNA
About the family: The signal recognition particle (SRP) is a universally conserved ribonucleoprotein.
Source: Rfam
GCCGGGCGUGGUGUCGCAUGCCUGUAAUCCCAGAUACUUGGGAGGCUGAGGCAGGAGAAUUGCUUGAACCUGGGAGGCAGAGGUUGCAGUGUGCCGAGAUCAUGCCACUGCACUCCAGCCUGGGUGACAGAGCGAGACUCUGUCUAAA